RNAcentral lists this transfer RNA (75 nucleotides) under Candidatus Kaelpia aquatica. Its description in RNAcentral is "tRNA-Gly". It matches the Rfam family "tRNA". Rfam says of the family: Transfer RNA (tRNA) molecules are approximately 80 nucleotides in length. Their secondary structure includes four short double-helical elements and three loops (D, anti-codon, and T loops). Further hydrogen bonds mediate the characteristic L-shaped molecular structure. tRNAs have two regions of fundamental functional importance: the anti-codon, which is responsible for specific mRNA codon recognition, and the 3' end, to which the tRNAs corresponding amino acid is attached (by aminoacyl-tRNA synthetases). tRNAs cope with the degeneracy of the genetic code in two manners: having more than one tRNA (with a specific anti-codon) for a particular amino acid; and 'wobble' base-pairing, i.e. permitting non-standard base-pairing at the 3rd anti-codon position. Lineage: Bacteria; Pseudomonadati; Candidatus Omnitrophota. The record is from RNAcentral.
GCGAGUGUAGUUCAGUGGUAGAACGUCAGCUUCCCAAGCUGGAUGUCGGGGGUUCGAGUCCCCUCACUCGCUCCA